UGGUAAUUAGUUUAAUAUAAAACAAAUGAUUUCGACUCAUUAAAUUAUAAGAGUAUUUAUAAUUACCAA
This 69-nucleotide transfer RNA is filed under the name Muscardinus avellanarius (hazel dormouse). RNAcentral describes it as "tRNA-Arg". It matches the Rfam family "tRNA". Rfam says of the family: Transfer RNA (tRNA) molecules are approximately 80 nucleotides in length. Their secondary structure includes four short double-helical elements and three loops (D, anti-codon, and T loops). Further hydrogen bonds mediate the characteristic L-shaped molecular structure. tRNAs have two regions of fundamental functional importance: the anti-codon, which is responsible for specific mRNA codon recognition, and the 3' end, to which the tRNAs corresponding amino acid is attached (by aminoacyl-tRNA synthetases). tRNAs cope with the degeneracy of the genetic code in two manners: having more than one tRNA (with a specific anti-codon) for a particular amino acid; and 'wobble' base-pairing, i.e. permitting non-standard base-pairing at the 3rd anti-codon position. Lineage: Eukaryota; Metazoa; Chordata; Mammalia; Rodentia; Gliridae. The record is from RNAcentral.